AUGGGCUGUACACAGGAAGUGAGAGAUAGCAUGAAGAAUAUUCUUAAUGUCCAAAAUGAGAGCUUGUCUGAAAAAUACCUUUGUAUGCCCACAGAUGUUGGUAGCAGCAAUAAUAGGGCGUUCAAAUACCUGAAGGAACAUGUGUGGAACAAAUUCAAAGGAUGGAUGGAGAAAAUAUUGUCUUCGGGUGGGAAGGAAGUGCUCAUCAAAUCCGUGGCACAAGUUGUUCCUAUUUUCUCGAUGGCCUGUUUCAAGCUCCCUAGAGGCCUCUGUCUUCAUAUCAACUCCAUCAUUCACAAGUUUUGGUGGGGGAGUAAACGGGGCGAGAGAAAGACUAUUUGGGUCUCGUGGGAGGUUAUGACCAGGCCGAAAUAUGAAAGAGGCUUGGGAUUCCAAGAUAUAGAGCUCUUCAAUCUUGCUCUCUUGGCGAUACAAGCGUGGCGUAUUCUGCAAUCACCAAAUACUCUAAGUGCAAAGCUACUGAAAGCUCGUUACUUUCCUGUGACUGGUUUUUUGGAUGCGGAACUAGGCAACAAUCCAUCGCAGAUUUGGAGGGCCAUCAUGGAAGGAAAUGAAGUGCUAAAGUUGGGCUUGAUUAGGCACAUUGGAGACGGAAAUACUACUCACAUAUGGGAACAGAACUGGCUCCCAAAGGAAGCAUCGAUGAGGCCUAUUGUUGGCUUAACUCCACAACGGCCAGAAUGUGUGUCCGAGCUUAUCAACGUCACUUCAGCGAGCUGGAGACAGGAUCUGGUCAAUUCAAAUUUUCUUCCUAUUGAUGCAGAGGUAAUCUUAAACAUUCUGUUGAGCAUGUUAGCAGUAAUCGUGACUUGGAGUUUGUUUUUCGAUUAG
RNAcentral lists this ribosomal RNA (852 nucleotides) under Triticum aestivum (bread wheat). RNAcentral describes it as "partial small subunit ribosomal RNA". The record is from RNAcentral. Lineage: Eukaryota; Viridiplantae; Streptophyta; Magnoliopsida; Poales; Poaceae.